GGGCCGGAAGUACGUGGCCUGGGCCCUGCCAAGGAUCCCCCGGGCGCAUCCGGUCAGCUCGGAUCGGUGCGCCGGGGUGGGAACAGAAAGCAGAGCAGCAGGGGGGACGGGGAACGAGGUGGAAAUGGAAAGAAAAUAUCGUCGCGCGGGGCAGGAUGCGGCACAAGAGAUCGUGGCGGCCUUCGGGGAGCACAGACUGCAGUGCUCCGGGAGGGAGGAGGGAAUGCCCGUGUGCGGGUACAGGAGACCUGUGAUUGCCCGGAGCGCCCCAUGCUGCUCUGCCCAGGAGCAGGCGGAGUGAUAGCCGAUCGCCCUGUCAACGGCCGCGGUCGCAUCCUUGCUUUGCCCGCUGAAGGGCAAAGCUGAUGCACCGGCUCUUCCUAAGUGUGCAUGCGUGUUCAUGGCCGUUCAUAGCUGUUUUCAUGGCUCAAGUGGGAGCCUGCACUGGAUGGCGCACGCACCCUGGGUCUCUAUCAAUCAUGCUUUUACGCUGCGACCGCUCUCGCACAGCAGCGCUGAGCCGUGAGUUGCUGUGCGUGGCCGCUGGGAGAGAGCGGCGGAGCGUCGAUCCUUGCUCCUUCCCUGAGUGUUGGCCGCACAGUGGCCUGUAGUGCUUAUUCCAAAUGCACAUACGUACUUUCGGCAUUCCUCGAGUCGUCAGUCGCCGUAACCAUCCUCUCAUCGAUGAUCGGCGCUGUGCCAACGUCCACUGAUUCGCCGGACGCGUGCGCAAAUCGAUUAUAUCGAUGUUCGAAAGGUUGUGACUGCAGCGCAUGCGCACUGAGGGACAUCGAUUGACUCGGUGAACAGCUGAUCAGGCUCUGAGCGGUAGACGCAUGCGUACAUCCGUUGCCCCUUGAUGGGCAAACCCUAUGCGACACCUCUCCCGAAGUGCGAAUGCGGCUUUGUUGUCUCUUUCCAUGUUUUGUCUCGUGACUGCGAUCAACAGCUCACGGUCCUACGCAUGUGUACUUGCGGACUUGGGAAACGAUGUGUCGCCUGUUCCCAAAUACGCAAGUGUGGUCAAGACCUUUCAUUGAUGUGUUCGUCACGCGACUGGGAGCCUGCCCUGUAUAGCACACGCGUACUGGUCCUCCCCAGUGUCAAUACGUAUGCUUCAUUCUCAGUGCACAUACGUAUGGACACUUGCGCCCUGAUAGUUUCGGCAGUUGACUUGUCGUCACUUCCUCUGUAACCGUGGAAACUGAUCCAUGACUCUGGCAGUGUCUGGUCCGCUAAUUCUGAGGACGCAUGCGCCAAUCCUGAAUAUCGGUGAUCGAUAUUUGUCGACUGCACCAUAUGCGCACGCGCAAGUUCCAUUUAUAUCAAUGAGUUUGGUGGUCAGGUGAGCAGCUAAUUUACCGGCGCAUGCGUAUUUGCUUUGCCCAUUGAAGGGAAACGCGUUGGCCCGCUUGUUCCGAAGUGCGCAUGAAUAUGCAUGGCAGCUCAUCGAUAUUUUCAUCGCGCAACUGAGAGCCUUAGCUCUACAGCGCAUGUUCACUGGGUCUUUGCCCGUGAUUGCUUAACGUGGCGGCUGCUGUCGUGCACAGGGGUACCGCGUCCACGGUGGCUGCGGCUUCGGGCCCGGGAUGAGAGGGGAGGAGGCGUCCAUGCCCUUCCCCCGAGUAUUGACUUGGCGUGUGGAGGACGCGACUGUAAUGCUUAUUGCGGUGCACACUGAGAACCGCGCCUCGAUUUGCGUCGCUGCUCGUCCUGUCCUCAGUGCCUUUGUAACCCGGGAAACCAUCAGUGAUUUCGACAGGAGGAAACAGUCCCUUCCUAGGACACGUGCGCAUCCGGCUUCAAGAGUCCUCCGGCCGCAUGCGUACUUGCCUCGUCCGUUGACCAAACGUUAUGCGUCGUUUUGGUCACCCUGUAGUGCGCAUGCGCACUGAGUCAUCACUAGGCCCCGGGGUGGCUUCGGCCGCGCCCCGCCAGUGACGAUAGAGGGGACAUCCCUGCCUCUCCCCCUAGUAUUGUCCCCACGUGGGGGGGGGCUUGUAGCCCUUAUUUCCGACACGCAUGCGCACUACGUGCCAAACUCGUCGAUGCUGUUCCGCGCAUGCGUGCAUCGAUCCUUUUGGCUUCCUUGCCAGCUCCACCGCCAGUGGUGGGUUUAGGAAUUCAUUUAGACAUGGGGGCACAGACGGUGAGGUGCAGCAUCUCAUUGAAAACAACCCGCAUUUUUCUCCAGGAAAAAUACACUGGAAGCUUUAUUAACAUGUGGGGGGGAGGGCUCGGGCUGUAUCAUUUAGGAUAAGCUUGAAGCAACAACUAAGACAGUGUCAGUGGAAGGAGUUGAAAGCCACUCGCAGGUUGUGAAGCAGGAUCUCCAGGCCCAGGCACAGCACAGGCCGCAGACCCGCGCACACAGGCCAGCUCCAGAGCACCAAGACCGUGAGAAGAAGAGCGGGCCCCUUGCAGCGGCAGCAGGACCAGUCGGGUCCGGGCGAGGGGCUGAACCACGACACCCGGGGCUGCAGCAUUGCCCCAGCAGAAAUGCAGCUACCCCAGCCGGGCAGGUGGUUUGACACAGUGCAACACGACUAGCAGCGGGGGCCGAGGUGCCUUCUCGUGCCCCCGUCCUUGGAGCCCGCGUGUCAGCGAGGAGCCGCAGCGUGACAGAUGCGGCGCUUGGGGCAGAAGGGCCCUGUUGUAUCUGCAAGGGUCACUCCGGGCACUCAGACAGGUGUGCGGGGCCUGCACUGGUCCCUUGGAAACAGCCGAGGCCCCACGGGUGACAGGUGAGUACGUGUUUAUGCCUUUGACAGUCUCAGCGGACAGAACACACCAGCAGUUACCUAGGCUUCUACCUGGAGGCUCGUCAUUCCCGUGUCCUGCUCCAACAGUAACGCCUCCAGCGCCUGCAGCUCUUGCCUCUAACUGCUGGUAGCAGGGGUGACUGGUGCCUCCUGAGUUUGGGACGGGCACAAUUUGUUGGCAGGCCAUGGGGUAUGCCAAAAGUUUCAUAUCUACUAUACUUGUGUGUUGUGGCUUAGUGCCCGCCCGCCCCCCGCCACCCACCCAUAUCACGCUGCCGGCAUACACAGCGAGAAAACUGCCUCAUCCUGAGCAGUGCUGAGUUGGGGCCCAAUCCCAGGCGGGGAACAGGCCACUCUCUGCCCCGCCUACUAGUCGCCUGUGGCUGGUAGCACCCUCCAAAAGCGAUCAUCUGCCUGUUGGCUCACAGAAUAAUGAGGCCCAGACGCCCCAGGCUUUGUAUUCUCCCUCCCUGUGCCCCGAUCAGGUUUUGAGCACUUUGCUCUCUGCAAAUUUAGGCCCUUGUUUGCCACUCAUCCUUAUUGCCCAACACCCAGGGAUAGGCUUGGGGUUUGGGUUAGGGUUAGCGGUCACAGAAUAUGACUUUGCAUUUUGGGUUGUUGUUUGACUCCUAAGUAUAAUCAUUAAGGAGACAAUUUCCCAGAUAUUGCUUUCGAGAGUAUAAAUGGGGGAGGAAUAUGUCCAUUUUUAAAAAUCUUUUAGCUACUAGCAGUAAGUUUAAGCCAAGAUUUCCUUGUCCAGUGCUGCAUUUCUGGCCCUUGCUGCUUGGCACUGGAAUCGCUUGCAGUUUAGAAUCUGACCGUCCUUUACACAGUUUGAGCUGUACGCGAUGGAAACCUUCACAUAGAGGGGUUUUUACUAAGUGAUACACAUUAUCAAGAACCAGGUACUGUUGAGUCUUUUGAGAGACAAGACUACAGCCCUUUUUUGUGGUUGGGAGUUUUUUUACAAGGUUAGAGACAGAAUUUUGGGGAAGUUGGAAUUCCUUUACUGAUUACGAGGGAUCCUGGUUUUCUCAGAUAACAAAAAUAAAACGCAGAAUCUCUGAUGAAAAACCCCAGCAUCCAUGUUUUUUCUGUGAUUUAAAAUGAAGUGCCAGUAUGUAUGUAGGUAUGAGUUGAACACUAUGUUUUAUUGAUGUCUUUACAAUUUUAAAGUGUUUUGAAUCCUACUAGUGCCUCAAUCUGUAGAAUAAAAAAAAUGUGAAUACCUAUA
Long non-coding RNA from Alligator mississippiensis (American alligator), 3996 nucleotides. RefSeq lists it as uncharacterized. Lineage: Eukaryota; Metazoa; Chordata; Crocodylia; Alligatoridae. The record is from RefSeq and is a predicted model, not a curated record. The transcript is spliced from 2 exons.